This is a non-coding RNA of Equus caballus (horse), 1486 nucleotides long. NCBI's taxonomy places the organism in Eukaryota, Metazoa, Chordata, Mammalia, Perissodactyla, Equidae. The record is from RefSeq and is a predicted model, not a curated record.
CAUGGGAUGCCUACCACAGCAUGGCUUUUGCCAAGUGGUGCCAUGUACGCACCUGGCGAAUCCCGGGCCGCCGAGAAGCAGAAUGUGCGAACUUAACUGCUGUGCCACCGGGCUCGCCCCCCUAUGCCUAGUUUCUGGAGCUGGAUGUGGCACCUGUCCCCAGACGCCUGGUUUCAGGGAUGAAGCCCUAAACGCCUACAGGAAAGAGCUACUCAUUCUCAGCAGUGUGCAAACACAAUCCGGAUGUCCACUUGAUGGGAAAACUGCGGGGCUGGACAGAUCCUGCCCCAGUAUAAGGCUGAUUUGGAUGCAGGGGCCUCUGGGUUUCUCUGAUUCUCCGCCUCUUCCCCGAUGGCCUGCAUCUUCAGAGGAAUCCUGUCCUGUUGGUCGCCUUUGUCCACUCUCUCACCUUUCUGCCUUCAGAGUAAAUAACUGCAUGACCUGUGGCACCUACUGGGAUCUGAUAGAGACCACAUCUAUGCAACUGGGUGUCCAUGUGCUGUGUGUGACUUCUGCUUGGCCAUACUGGACAGUGCCACUUCUGAAUGGCUGCUUACCUGUCUCACUCAGGAAGCUGUCCAUAACCUCCUGGAAGAGGUGGCUAGAUGGCCAAGUAAGGCCUUGAAUUCUGAGCUCAGUAGUUUGAACCUUUCCUGUGGGCUAGGGGACCCAUGGAAGGUUUUUGAACAAGUGAGUGGCAAGUUUGGAGCAGACGGAACAGAAAAGUGGACCCAUGCACUGGGGAUUUCACAGGCUCUCUUGUGUAUACCCCUUCCACGUGGGAAACAAGAGUAAAUGAGGAGAGAGUGAGGAGCUAAGAGCAGGUUUUGCACUGAAAUCCUGGCUUGGCUGCUGUCAGCCCAACUUUCAGUGAACCGGGUCUUGGUUAGUUGUGGUUUUUCCAAAUCCAUCUUGCCUCACAACCUUUUAGCUGCAGCUCUCUCUCCACUUAUUGCCUCAUUCACUCAACAUUUCACAGUUCAAAUUCCCAAGAAAAGGAAUCAGAUUGGUCUAGAUCAGGCUACAUUGACCUGCCUAUGAGUUGUCUAGCUUGAAUCAAGACUUUACCCUUGACCAAGAUGUAUGCGCACUGUAACAGAGUGUGUCUGAAGGAAGAGUGGACAAGCACAAUGAUUGACAUUUCUGGCAAACCCUGUGGUAGAUUGUAUUAUUGUUCCAAAUAUAUAGUCCUUCCUACAGGGCCCCUCCCUAAAGGAAGAUUAUAAUAGGCUUGGCUAUAUGACUUGUUUUGGCCAAUGGAAUGUGAGUAGAAAUGUAACAUACCACUUCCAAACAGAAGUUUUAAGCACCACUCGUAGUCUGGCAGCUUCCCCUCUCUUUUCCCUCUGCCAUGAGCCUGGCAAUUUCUAGAUCAAGACUUCUUCAGUCUGGAACCCAGAAUUAAGAUGACAUGAAGCUGAGCUGUAGUCCACCUGUAAAAUGAUGUGUGAUGUCAGUGAGAAAUAAACUUCUCUUGCUGUGAACA